RNAcentral lists this ribosomal RNA (848 nucleotides) under Metabetaeus minutus. RNAcentral describes it as "partial 16S ribosomal RNA". The stretch from base 399 to 642 matches the Rfam family "Archaeal large subunit ribosomal RNA", at positions 1785 to 2143 of the family's 2987-position model. The record is from RNAcentral. Lineage: Eukaryota; Metazoa; Arthropoda; Malacostraca; Decapoda; Alpheidae.
CUAUGAGCUAUGGAUUUAUAAUUGUUUUUGUCUUAUAAAAAAAGUUAAUUUUUUCAUAGAAAUGAAAUGUUAGUCGUUUAGUUUAUAUCUAGUUCUUUGUGAUGGAAUUUAAUUCUAAUUUUUAUAAAAAUUUUGUAAAAGGAAAAUUUUUUUAGGCAUGAGCUUUGGAAAUGGAAAUUUAAAUAUUAAUAUUGAUUUGAACUAUAAGUAGGUUUAAUAGUAAUUAUCUUAUAAGUUUAUUAUAAAUUAUGAUGUAUAGAAUUUAGUUAAUUUAUAUUAGUUUAUUUUUAAUAGUAAAGUGUUAUAUAUAAUUGAAUUGUAUAAGAAAUUAUGAUUAAAUUAGUAUAGAUUGAUAAUGUUAUGUUUAAUUUUUAAUAAUUUAUUUAUUAUUUUAGUAAGUAAAAAGAGAUAAAAAAGGAAUUCGGCAAAUGUACCUUUUGCCUGUUUAUCAAAAACAUGUCUUUAUGGGAAAAUGUAAAGUCUAGCCUGCCCACUGAAUUUUAAAGGGCUGCGGUAUUUCUGACCGUGCAAAGGUAGCAUAAUCAAUAGUCUUUUAAUUGGAGGCUGGAAUGAAUGGUUGGACAAAAGGGUAUCUGUCUCGUUUAUUAAAUUUGAAUUUAAUUAUUGUGUGAAAAAGCAUAAAUGUUUUAAAGGGACGAGAAGACCCUAUAAAACUUUAUAUAUAGUUUUUUUUUAGGAGAAGUUAAAUUAAAUUUUAAUUAAAGAUUAAUAUUUAGUUGGGGUGAUUGAGAUAUAAUUAAUUAACUGUCUAUAAUAUUUAAUAAGUAUAAUUAGAAAAUGACCUUAAAUUUUAGGUUAUAAGUUAAAGUUACUUUAGGGAUAACGAG